UACGGAGGGUGCAAGCGUUAUCCGGAUUUAUUGGGUUUAAAGGGUCCGUAGGCUGAUUUGUAAGUCAGUGGUGAAAUCUCACAGCUUAACUGUGAAACUGCCAUUGAUACUGCAAGUCUUGAGUGUUGUUGAAGUAGCUGGAAUAAGUAGUGUAGCGGUGAAAUGCAUAGAUAUUACUUAGAACACCAAUUGCGAAGGCAGGUUACUAAGCAACAACUGACGCUGAUGGACGAAAGCGUGGGGAGCGAAC
Molecule: ribosomal RNA, 250 nt
Filed under: uncultured bacterium
Lineage: Bacteria
Description: partial 16S ribosomal RNA
Rfam family: Bacterial small subunit ribosomal RNA
Source: RNAcentral